UAAUAUAUAGAGUUUAAAAAAAUCUCAAAAACAAAUUCGUCAUAUUUUGUGAUUCGAAAUUUUAAGAAUGAACAUAUAUUAACCAAUUGGCGAAAAAUGUGUGGGUUCAACGUCCCGCAACGACUAAAAUAUUUUAACAAUGAUUCAUAAACAUAUUAUAAAUAAGAUCAACAUUAAUAAAAUAAAUAGUUUUUUUUUGUGGACGGGUUUGGCAGGACGUUACUUAGUAACAAUGAUAAACUAUAAAAUAAUUUAUAAAUUUUUAUAUAUAUUAAUUUUAAAAAAUGAAUUGUCUCCGCGGUACACCGCGGAUUAAAAUCUAGUAGUUAACAUUUUUUUAGUUCGCUUGAAACGUAUUAAGAUGGCAAUAAUACCAAAAUAAAUGGAAUCCAAU
RNAcentral lists this small RNA (394 nucleotides) under Arabidopsis thaliana (thale cress). RNAcentral describes it as "ATSL119300". The record is from RNAcentral. Lineage: Eukaryota; Viridiplantae; Streptophyta; Magnoliopsida; Brassicales; Brassicaceae.